RNAcentral lists this long non-coding RNA (457 nucleotides) under Malus domestica (apple). Its description in RNAcentral is "long non-coding RNA (MDOM_LNC007710)". Lineage: Eukaryota; Viridiplantae; Streptophyta; Magnoliopsida; Rosales; Rosaceae. The record is from RNAcentral.
CCGUAACGAUCAUCGCGCGGUUUACCGUAAGGCUGGACCCGCGCCACAGGCUAAGAACCCCUUCGCUCCUCGCCAUCUUCGUAAUCGCGUCGAUCACGUUCUUGUAGUCACGGCCGCCAGCCUGCAUCCGGACCAUGGCCACGUCGGCGGGGUUUCCGACGGCGGCACCAACUCCACCGGCGACGAGUCCAGCGAGAAUUUUUCGGGGCAGGGGUAGGUUUCCGGAGUUCGAGUCUGCCCAUCUGACUUUCAAAAUUUCGUAGAGGCCCAUUCGGGUGGUGGAGUAGAGAGUCUGGCGGAGGACGGUGGCGGAGACUCCAGAGAACAACGCCUUAACACCUUCGGUCUGAACAAUUUUGACUCCGACCGAGAUUGGACCGGCGCGUGCGGCGGCGGCCGGCGGAGGCGGGGCAACCAGGGUGGCAGAAUGGGAAUGAAAAGCAAAAGCAGGGCGGAG